This 253-nucleotide ribosomal RNA is filed under the name uncultured bacterium. RNAcentral describes it as "partial 16S ribosomal RNA". It matches the Rfam family "Bacterial small subunit ribosomal RNA", at positions 524 to 776 of the family's 1533-position model. The record is from RNAcentral.
UACGUAGGGGGCAAGCGUUGUCCGGAAUCACUGGGCGUAAAGCGUACGCAGGCGGGUCGAUAAGUCCGUUGUGAAAUCCCAGGGCUCAACCCUGGAACUGCAGUGGAGACUGUCGAUCUUGAGUACGGGAGAGGGGAGCGGAAUUCCUGGUGUAGAGGUGAAAUUCGUAGAUAUCAGGAGGAACACCGGUGGCGAAAGCGGCUCCCUGGCCCGAUACUGACGCUCAUGUACGAAAGCGUGGGGAGCAAACAGG